Malus domestica (apple) is the source of this 725-nucleotide RNA transcript. RefSeq lists it as uncharacterized. The record is from RefSeq and is a predicted model, not a curated record. Lineage: Eukaryota; Viridiplantae; Streptophyta; Magnoliopsida; Rosales; Rosaceae.
UCGCGCGUUUUCAAGGGAAGCGUGGAACGACGACGUUUUAGUAUCUCGAGCAGAAGAUAUCUCUGCGUGCAAUAGUUGUAGAACAAAAGAGAGACGGCGGCGCAUCAUCUAGCGAUCAAUCGAGAGAGAGAUAUGAGCAGGCCGGUGUUGCCCUUCUCCAGAAUCUUCAUGAAGCUAGAGCGAGAGAUGGAAACUGUGGUGAAAGUACUGCAGCCUGGACCUUUAGGAAUCAUAGAGCACAAAUUCUCUGGUGAAGAGAUACACAAGGCAAAUGCUACGGUUCAGAGGGCGGUGGAAAACUGGAGACGGAAUGCAAUCCUAGAGCAGACAAGUCCAUUCUUAAAAGAAUAUAUUCAGAAGUGAUGGAUCUGCUCAAACCAUUUUUCAUGGGUAAUCGAACAAUCAAACUUUUUUGAAUACAUAAACUUCUCUCUUCCUCAGCAGAGCUUUUUACCAAAUUUGAAGAAAGGCUCUCUUAGUUUCUUCACCCUCUCGCUCUUUGCGAGAAGUGAGAACCUAUCACAAAUGUGCAGCGCAUGUAUUUCUUUCCUAGUUUUGUUUGUUAUGUAUGUUAUUUGAUAAAGAUAGAAAUGCUUUAUUUGGUUUAGUUUAAAUAAUUACCCGUUUGUGAAGUAUCCAUAUAUCCCAUCUUUCACAGAUGUAAAAUUAUGGAUUCACUGUGUAACGUUGACAUUGAUAAGGUAAUAAGAGUCUGCAUUUGUAUA